This 658-nucleotide long non-coding RNA is filed under the name Capsicum annuum. Its description in RNAcentral is "long non-coding RNA (CANN_LNC011481)". The record is from RNAcentral. Lineage: Eukaryota; Viridiplantae; Streptophyta; Magnoliopsida; Solanales; Solanaceae.
UAGGAUUAGGGGAUGGUAUGGUACAUAUGGAAAGUUUUUAGUUAAUGUUCUAUUGUUUAAUAGAGCUUUCGACGGUUAAAAUAAUGAAAAUAUGCAAGUUACUUAGGUCUUUUUUUAGAUAUAAUGUAUUUUAUGUUGUGUUUUGCAGGAAACUAGGUUUUAGAGCUGAACAAGAGAAAAUAAAAAUUGAAGUGUUUGGAAUAUGUACAUGGGUACCUAUUUGCAUAAGUACUACCUAUAUAUUAGAAAGUGGAAAGUCCAGAGAUCCAGAAGUUGAAGAUUUAAGACUGUCACCUAAGAGUGACUACCUAUGGGUCGUAGGUAGUACCUAUAUCCCAUAGGUGUUAGAAUUCAUAGUGUUCCUAAGAUAUUUUUGACAAUUUUUAACACUAGCACCUAUGUGGGACCAUCUACGAUCCAUCGAUGCUAUCUCCGGCCUAUAAGUGGCCACCGACUCUGAUUUUAGUUUUUUGUUUAGGAUUGGUUUCAUGGGGUUUCCAUGUAUUAUAUAGGUAACCUUUUGAAACAUUUUAGUUAGUUUACGUACUCUUAUUGCUUAAAAACAUAUAUUUGAUUUCAAGGUUAGGUUUUUAGUUUUUGGAUUCUUGUGUUCUUAUUUUUUUUAUUGAUUAUUCAAUUUGAGACUCUGGGUUUUAUU